GAUGAACGCUGGCGGCGUGCCUAAUACAUGCAAGUCGAGCGAACGGACGAGAAGCUUGCUUCUCUGAUGUUAGCGGCGGACGGGUGAGUAACACGUGGAUAACCUACCUAUAAGACUGGGUAACUUCGGGAAACCGGAGCUAAUACCGGAUGAUAUUUUGAACCGCAUGGUUCAAAAGUGAAAGACGGUCUUGCUGUCACUUAUAGAUGGAUCCGCGCUGCAUUAGCUAGUUGGUAAGGUAACGGCUUACCAAGGCAACGAUGCAUAGCCGACCUGAGAGGGGAAUCGGCCACACUGGAACUGGAACCCGGUCCAGACUCCUAGGGGAGGCAGGAGUAGGAAAUUUUCCGAAAGGGGCGAAAGCCUGAGGGAGCAACGCCGCGUGGGUGAGGAAGUUCUUCGGUUCGAAAAACUCUGUUUUUGGGGAAAAAAAUAUUUGUAAGUAACGGGGCCAAUUUUGGGGGUACCGAAUCAAAAAGCCACGGCUAACUACGG
Molecule: ribosomal RNA, 495 nt
Filed under: uncultured bacterium
Lineage: Bacteria
Description: partial 16S ribosomal RNA
Rfam family: Bacterial small subunit ribosomal RNA
Source: RNAcentral